UUAAAUUGAGAGUUUGAUCCUGGCUCAGGACGAACGCUGGCGGCGUGCUUAACACAUGCAAGUCGAACGGGAUUUAGUAAACGGAAGCCUCGGUGGAAGAUUACUAAUGAGAGUGGCGAACGGGUGAGUAACGCGUGAGCAACCUGCCUAUGACAGUGGGAUAGCCUCGGGAAACCGGGAUUAAUACCGCAUAAAAUCGUAGAAACA
Molecule: ribosomal RNA, 207 nt
Filed under: Finegoldia magna
Lineage: Bacteria; Bacillati; Bacillota; Tissierellia; Tissierellales; Peptoniphilaceae
Description: partial 16S ribosomal RNA
Rfam family: Bacterial small subunit ribosomal RNA
Source: RNAcentral